This is a long non-coding RNA of Lemur catta (Ring-tailed lemur), 104 nucleotides long. RefSeq lists it as uncharacterized. The transcript is spliced from 2 exons. The record is from RefSeq and is a predicted model, not a curated record. NCBI's taxonomy places the organism in Eukaryota, Metazoa, Chordata, Mammalia, Primates, Lemuridae.
GGUGAAUCACACACGUGAGGGAGGAGGAUGUGCAGGUGAUAUGGAAAGGAUUCCCUGAAAGAGAAGGAACUUUGUCAAAGCCUCUGGCAUCAAAGCUCCAGAAA